This 366-nucleotide ribosomal RNA is filed under the name uncultured bacterium. RNAcentral's name for it is "bacterial SSU rRNA". It matches the Rfam family "Bacterial small subunit ribosomal RNA", at positions 526 to 896 of the family's 1533-position model. RNAcentral also lists the same sequence under 1 other name. The record is from RNAcentral.
CGGAGGAUCCAAGCGUUAUCCGGAAUCAUUGGGUUUAAAGGGUCCGUAGGCGGUUUAGUAAGUCAGUGGUGAAAGCCCAUCGCUCAACGGUGGAACGGCCAUUGAUACUGCUAAACUUGAAUUAUUAGGAAGUAACUAGAAUAUGUAGUGUAGCGGUGAAAUGCUUAGAGAUUACAUGGAAUACCAAUUGCGAAGGCAGGUUACUACUAAUGGAUUGACGCUGAUGGACGAAAGCGUGGGUAGCGAACAGGAUUAGAUACCCUGGUAGUCCACGCCGUAAACGAUGGAUACUAGCUGUUGGAAGCAAUUUCAGUGGCUAAGCGAAAGUGAUAAGUAUCCCACCUGGGGAGUACGUUCGCAAGAAUG